This 240-nucleotide unclassified non-coding RNA is filed under the name soil metagenome. Its description in RNAcentral is "partial contains 5.8S ribosomal RNA, internal transcribed spacer 2, and large subunit ribosomal RNA". The record is from RNAcentral.
AACAUCGCGCACCUGCGGGAACCUGCGGAAGGAUCAUCAUUGAAACAAACUUUGCCAAGAAGUUUUGGGGAGGGAGAGGGGAGGAGUGUGGAAAAAAACUCUGCAUCUCUGAGCCUUGACCAAGACAGGCUUCUUGGACAAACAACCAAUCUUCAUGACUAGGAAAAAUAUUGACAACAGUGAUUUGGUUGGGGGGACUGUUGACAAACAAGUUCUUGUCUGACAAGCAGCUUUGAUUUG